Molecule: long non-coding RNA, 438 nt
Filed under: Equus caballus (horse)
Lineage: Eukaryota; Metazoa; Chordata; Mammalia; Perissodactyla; Equidae
Description: lncRNA (ENSECAG00000028099.3)
Source: RNAcentral
AGAGGGGACUCCUGUGCAGGAGUGUUUUCGGGACAGUCCCUUUCCCUCUGGGCAUGAGGAAGUCUCUGACUGCUUUGAAAACCUUUGAAGGACAACCGGGAAGGAGACUUAGAGGCUGGCUCUCUGAAGGGGUGGAGACACGCAUCUGUGGUCCCUGCGGUCAGCCUUCAGCAGUUUGAGUUGGGAGAGCUUUUUCGUUUCUGUAGAACUUGAAGGCUGCCGUUUGAAAUGGCACUGGAUCAAGUGUUCAUUGGCCACCACCUACUUCCGACAUGGAACACAACUGCUCGUCCAGUUGCAAGCACAGAAUGAAGGUGAAUCAGCUCAUGGAUGGCCUUCAGAAAUUCUGAGCUUGGUUUUAGACAUUGUAACAUAUAUUAAGACCAACAGGGCAAAAGAGGUCCUUUAAGUGUGAAAUUAAAGUAUUAUCCAAGGAUA